Molecule: ribosomal RNA, 918 nt
Filed under: Triticum aestivum (bread wheat)
Lineage: Eukaryota; Viridiplantae; Streptophyta; Magnoliopsida; Poales; Poaceae
Description: partial small subunit ribosomal RNA
Source: RNAcentral
AUGAGAGAGAGGAAUACGUACCCCCGAAUGGAGAUCCUCAGCAGUCAAUCAUUGGCGACGGCGAGCACUUUCCCGCUGACUGUAUGGCCUUCUGUAAUUAUGCUAGCAGCAUGCCUCGAGUCAUUAGCCUAUCGAGGACAACAACACCAAGGAGAUAGCUUGACGCCGAUGUGGGUUGGGGGUGGCUGGCGGCGGGGCUCUUCGAGCCUGGAGACGAAGGGCGCACGCGGCAGCGGCGAUAGCCGAGCCCGUCGCGGCUCGGGCCCGAGCUGCGCGUGGCAGUGGAUCCGCGGCGGCGUCGGCAUCCUGGGGAUCCUGAUCCAUGACGGGCGACGUAUCCGAGGCGCCGGUGGUGACGGUGUCCUCGUGAUCCACGACGGCCGCAUCUGCCCGGAUCGGCGUCGGCGGAUGCGGAUGCGGCUGCGUAUCCUCGGGAGACGAGGAGGAGCAGAUCGGAGGGCGGCGGCAGCGAGAUCGCACGAGAGGACGGCGGCUCUGUGUCCUCGAGGGAUCGACAGGAGAGGUUUUUUGCGGGGUGUUUUCUGGCUGCGUGUGUGGGGUGGGAUGGGGGAGACGAAAAAAAACCAGCAAAAAAAACCGGUUGAAAAAAAACCAGUCGAAAAAACCAGACGAAAGGGGGGACUAUUCAAUCAACUCGUCCUUUGCUUUUCCGCGAGACGAAAUAGGCGAGAGCGCUCGCUGGAAUUAGCAAAGCACAGUAGCUGCUGGCUAGGCGGUGCCUGGGCCGAAAGCAGCAAAGAGAUAAUGAACCUCGGGACGGGCCGGGCCGGGCGCGGGCCUGGGCCUUGCACCUUUCGAGCUUCCCGAUCCCACCACCACUUGUCGCAGCUGGCCACCUGUCAUCUCCACUCCUCGCUGGCUCUCCCGGGGCCGGGUCAGGUCAGGCCAGGUGUGUGA